GCUGGGUCUGAUGGCUCAUGCCUGUAAUCCCAGUGACUCAGGAGGCUGAGGCAAGAGGAUUGCAAUUUUGAGACUGACCUCAGCAAUUUAGUGAGGCCCUAAGCUUAGUGAGACCCUGUCUCAA
Molecule: small RNA, 124 nt
Filed under: Marmota monax (woodchuck)
Lineage: Eukaryota; Metazoa; Chordata; Mammalia; Rodentia; Sciuridae
Source: RNAcentral